UGGCGAAGUUAACGCGAUAAGUCGACCGCCUGGGGAGUACGGCCGCAAGGUUAAAACUCAAAUGAAUUGACGGGGGCCCGCACAAGCGGUGGAGCAUGUGGUUUAAUUCGAUGCAACGCGAAGAACCUUACCUACUCUUGACAUCCUGCGAACUUGUGAGAGAUCACUUGGUGCCUUCGGGAGCGCAGAGACAGGUGCUGCAUGGCUGUCGUCAGCUCGUGUUGUGAAAUGUUGAGUUAAGUCCCGUAACGAGCGCAACCCUUGUCCUUAUUUGCCAGCGGGUAAUGCCGGGAACUCUAAGGAGACUGCCGGUGACAAACCGGAGGAAGGUGGGGACGACGUCAAGUCAUCAUGGCCCUUACGAGUAGGGCUACACACGUGCUACAAUGGCCGGUACAAAGGGUUGCGAGCUCGCGAGAGUCAGCUAAUCCCGAAAAGCCGGUCUCAGUCCGGAUCGGAGUCUGCAACUCGACUCCGUGAAGUCGGAAUCGCUAGUAAUCGUGAAUCAGAAUGUCACGGUGAAUACGUUCCCGGGCCUUGUACACACCGCCCGU
Molecule: ribosomal RNA, 554 nt
Filed under: uncultured bacterium
Lineage: Bacteria
Description: bacterial SSU rRNA
Rfam family: Bacterial small subunit ribosomal RNA
Source: RNAcentral